RNAcentral lists this long non-coding RNA (2244 nucleotides) under Homo sapiens (human). RNAcentral describes it as "HSALNT0323459". The record is from RNAcentral. Lineage: Eukaryota; Metazoa; Chordata; Mammalia; Primates; Hominidae.
CUCAGCGGGCUUGGGUCGUCCGGCCGCGGGGUCAGGGAAGACCAGAGGACCACUAGCCCCAGGAAGCUUCCCACCACCAGCAAACUGCGUGGUGAAUUUGUAACCGAAAGGCCCAGGUGAGAUGUGCAAAUAUCACUGGAUUGGAGGAGCUCACUUGGAAAGCCAGUAUUCCUCCUGAGCUAAUGAAAAGAAAGGCUGUCGUCUUAUGCCAAAAGCAAUACCAACCUUGUUCACGGGCUGAGAUCUAGAGUGUGUAAUUCACGAAGUAUGAAUCUGCUGGGUAAUGUGAUAUGAAAAGCGAAUGCACCAUUUCUUGGUGAUGAUUCAGGUCAGCGUUGGGACCCAGGAAUCUCCUGUUAAUCAGUACCCUGGUGAUUUUGAUCCAGAGACGGGGUCUAUUAUCUGGUCCUGUUGUCAAGGCUGGUCUCAAACUCCUGGCCUCCAGCGAUCCUCCCUUUUUGGCCUCCCAAGAUGCUGGUAUUACAGGCAUGAGCCACCAUGGUCCACCCGGACUCCUUUUCAUAGGAGACAGUUCCCUAGGCAGAGACUGGGCUUGAAACAGUUCCUCUAAAGAAGAGGGUAGAGACUAGAACUGAAUGAGAUGGACAUAGAGAUGGCCAAGAAAAGCAUCGUCCUCUGCCAAGUCAUGGGGUCAUGUGUGGUGGAUGGUGACAUGGUGUCCUCAGCUCAGAGUCCAGCUGGGGGCUCAGAAGCAAGGUAACUGAAGGGAGAGAAUUAUUUGAGCACCUAGUGUGUGUAAGAUGCUUCACAUUUAUUAUUUCACCUAACCUCUACACAACCUGUUGUGGGUAUUACUGGUCUCAAGCUGGGAUUCAAAGCAGGUUUUUCCAACCUCAGAAUUCUUGCCAGACUGAUUAGCCUUCUGCAUCUGGAACAUAAAUGUUUUCAGGCAGCAUAAUGUGCAAGAGGUCAGAGCCUAAAGCUUUGUUAUUUUUUAAUUUCUCCACCAUGUCAACUCUGUUACAGGGAAGCCCAGCAGAGGGAAUUGUAUCCAUUUUGGGGCUACACUACCCCAAUGCUAUGCUGCAGCCAAGCUGAACUUCUAAGUUUCUAAAUGUAACUCACUUACCUUCAGGCCUUUGUACGGGGAGUUCUUUUUGCCUGAAAUACCUUCUGACAUCUUAACAUUACGCUUAGAUGUCAGUUACAAAAAAGCUUUUUCUAGACUCUCUCACAUGUCCCACUCCACACCCCUAUAUCUCUUCCCACCAAUGUACUAGGGUAGGUAUCCUGCUAGGUACUUCCACUGCACCCUCUACUUUUCUUCCCUAAUGAUUACCACUAUAUUGUAAUUGCUUAAUUUCUUUUUCCUAUACCCAGAUAAAAAUGUGUAUGAAGGUGGAGCCUUGUCUAUCUAGUUCGUUAUUGUUAUCCGUGUCUGAGUGGGUACAGAGGAAAGGCCCUAUGAGGAUACAGCAAGAAGGCAGCCAUCUGCAAGUCAGGAAGAGACCUAUCAUCAGAAACCAACCAUGCUGGCACCUUGAUCUUGGACUUUGAGUCUCCAGAACUGUGAGAAAUAAAGUUGUUGUUUAAGCCACCUAGUCUCUGAUAUUCUGCUACAGCAGUUUGAGCAGAGUAAUAUAGUUGGCUAUCCAGUUAAACGCCCUAUCACCUACAGCCCCAUCCUCAUUGCCUACUUCCUUCUAGAGAGUGAGCUCCCAUAGAUCUGGCUAAGUGAGUAGCAAGGAAGCAAUGUAAUCUUGCGACCUGAGAACAGCCAUUUAUCCCAGCUGUUCACACUUGAUCUAAGUUUGUCCAACAGAUUCACUCUAGGGGGAAUUUAAAGCAGGGACUUAGAAAUUCUAGUUAGUUUCUGUGAGAUGCCUUAAAAGAGAAAGUAUUUGAAGCCUGGGCUGUGGAACCAUGUGCAUGAAUAUUUUUGGGGAGAAGAAAAAGAAUAAAGUAGAUAUGCAAAUGUGUGAAGAGAGGAAGAGAUGCUAAUCCAUGAGAGUAGCCUAAGAGAGACUGGAGGAGGGACCUUGGCUGUGAACUCUGAAGUGCUGACUUCCAGUCUCUUAAGAGUCCCCAUUCAAGUUCUGUACUUGGUUUCUAUGAAAUAUCUCUGAUUUUUAACAAAAAUUCCUUUUUGCUUCAGCUGUCUCUAAGCAACUUCUGUUGUUUUGCAACCUGAUUCCUUAGUAAGACAUAUGGAAACAUGUAAAUCAAAGCCUAAAGUAUGAAUUAAGUAAAAAUUCCACAAUAAACAUAAGGUUGAUUCAUGAA